AGCUCCAGAAGCGUAUAUUAACGUUGUUGCAGUUAAAAAGCUCGUAGUUGAAUGUCUGGUUUUUUGUUUGUGUCGAGAGACGCAAAUUGGCCGCGUCGGUCCGGAGCGUUCUCGCAAGAGGCGCUGUUUGUGUAUCGACUUUUUUUGUUGGCCAGCCAUAUUGUUUUUUACGGCCUCACGGUUGUUCAAGACUUGUUUACUUUGAAAAAAUUAGAGUGUUUAAAGCAGAACUUUCCAAAAAGUUCAUUGAAUACAUUAGCAUGGAAUAAUGAGAUAGGACUGUGGUUUUAUUUUGUUGGUUUCUAGAACUGUAGUAAUGAUUGACAGGGACGGUUGGGGGUGCUAGUAUUCAAUGGCCAGAGGUGAAAUUCAUGGAUUCAUUGAAGACUAACUAAAGCGA
This 400-nucleotide ribosomal RNA is filed under the name phytoplankton environmental sample. RNAcentral describes it as "partial small subunit ribosomal RNA". It matches the Rfam family "Eukaryotic small subunit ribosomal RNA", at positions 587 to 948 of the family's 1831-position model. The record is from RNAcentral.